GACCCUGGUCUGCACUCUAUCUGUAAACUUACUGAAGGGAGAGCAGGGCAGGGUUUC
Molecule: microRNA precursor, 57 nt
Filed under: Mus musculus (house mouse)
Lineage: Eukaryota; Metazoa; Chordata; Mammalia; Rodentia; Muridae
Description: Mmu-Mir-504-v2_pre stem-loop
Rfam family: mir-504 microRNA precursor family
Source: RNAcentral